RNAcentral lists this long non-coding RNA (239 nucleotides) under Lathyrus oleraceus (garden pea). RNAcentral's name for it is "Pisum sativum (pea) long non-coding RNA (PSAT_LNC021244)". Lineage: Eukaryota; Viridiplantae; Streptophyta; Magnoliopsida; Fabales; Fabaceae. The record is from RNAcentral.
UUCGAACAGAGUCGCCACCGAACUUUAUUUAUCCCAAUGAAGGAAUAGAAAAAUAUCGAUAAAACCUUUAGGAAAUGGAAUAAUGGUCAUCGCAACCAUAUUCGGGUUCGGGAGUGGAUUACGUAAGGGGAAGGUAUUAGCACCCCUUACGUCCGUUGUACUCAACGGGAACCUUUUAGUUCUAACGUGCGUUUCGUGUGUUAAUUUAUAUCUGUUUGUUAUCUUUGGGUUAUAAAAUU